GCCCGCUCAGAAACUUAAAGGAAGUUGACGGGGGCCCGCACAAGCGGAGGAGCAUGUGGUUUAAUUCGAUGAUACGCGAGGAACCUUACCUGGGCUCGAACGUAAGAUGACUGUAGGUGAAAGCUUACAUCUCUUCGGAGCAUUUUACGAGGUGCUGCAUGGUUGUCGUCAGCUCGUGCCGUGAGGUGUCGGGUUAAGUCCCAUAACGAGCGCAACCCCUACCUUUAGUUGCCAUCAGGUUAAGCUGGGGACUCUAAAGGAACUGCCUACGCAAGUAGUGAGGAAGGCGGGGAUGACGUCAAAUCAGCACGGCCCUUACGUCCAGGGCUACACACGUGCUACAAUGGCCGAUACAGAGGGCAGCUACCUGGUGACAGGAUGCAAAUCUCCAAAGUCGGUCUCAGUUCGGAUCGGAGUCUGCAACCCGACUCCGUGAAGUUGGAAUCGCUAGUAAUCGCGCAUCAGCAUGGCGCGGUGAAUACGUUCCCGGGCCUU
Molecule: ribosomal RNA, 495 nt
Filed under: uncultured Sphingobacteriales bacterium
Lineage: Bacteria; Pseudomonadati; Bacteroidota; Sphingobacteriia; Sphingobacteriales
Description: bacterial SSU rRNA
Rfam family: Bacterial small subunit ribosomal RNA
Source: RNAcentral